Molecule: ribosomal RNA, 116 nt
Filed under: Peribacillus loiseleuriae
Lineage: Bacteria; Bacillati; Bacillota; Bacilli; Caryophanales; Bacillaceae
Also listed under: 2 other names
Source: RNAcentral
UUUGGUGGCGAUAGCAAAGAGGUCACACCCGUUCCCAUUCCGAACACGGAAGUUAAGCUCUUUAGCGCCGAUGGUAGUUGGGGGUCUCCCCCUGUGAGAGUAGGACGCCGCCAAGC